RNAcentral lists this ribosomal RNA (274 nucleotides) under uncultured bacterium. Its description in RNAcentral is "partial 16S ribosomal RNA". It matches the Rfam family "Bacterial small subunit ribosomal RNA", at positions 523 to 796 of the family's 1533-position model. The record is from RNAcentral.
CUACGGAGGGGACUAGCGUUGUUCGGAAUUACUGGGCGUAAAGAGUACGUAGGCGGUCUAUCAAGUUGGGUGUGAAAGCCCGGGGCUCAACCCCGGAACUGCACUCAAAACUGAUAAACUAGAGAUCGGAAGAGGUAAGUGGAAUUCCCAGUGUAGAGGUGAAAUUCGUAGAUAUUGGGAAGAACACCAGUGGCGAAGGCGGCUUACUGGUCCGAGACUGACGCUGAGGUACGAAAGCGUGGGGAGCAAACAGGAUUAGAAACCCCAGUAGUCC